ACCUACGGGGGGCAGCAGUAGGGAAUUUUCGUCAAUGGACGCAAGCCUGAACGAGCAAUGCCGCGUGAACGAGGAAGGUCUUCGGAUCGUAAAGUUCUGUUGAAGGGGAAAAAGAGCGGAGAGAGGAAAUGGUCUCCGAUUGAUAUUACCCUUCGAGGAAGUCACGGCUAACUACGUGCCAGCAGCCGCGGUAAUACGUAGGUGGCGAGCGUUAUCCGGAAUGAUUGGGCGUAAAGGGUGCGUAGGCGGCCUGCUAAGUCUGGAGUGAAAGGUACCGGCUCAACCGGUACAGGCCGUGGAAACGG
RNAcentral lists this ribosomal RNA (305 nucleotides) under uncultured bacterium. RNAcentral's name for it is "bacterial SSU rRNA". It matches the Rfam family "Bacterial small subunit ribosomal RNA", at positions 337 to 635 of the family's 1533-position model. The record is from RNAcentral.